UCUUUUCUUUUUAAUCACUUAAUCCCAGGUUUUCUCGCCCAAUUUUGCAUGGGCUGUGCACACUUGGAUUUGCUGUUAGGGCUAUCAUAAAAUGUAUUUGCAAAGGGGACCCAAACAUGAUAAAGAACAUAUCUGGCAGAUUUUUAUUACAUGUGUAUCCAGGUGAAACCUUAAUGACAGAAAUGUGGCUGGAAGGUUUAAGGGUUAUAUAUCAGGUGAAGGUGAAAGAGCGUAAAAGGGCAGUGCUUUAUGGUUUUGUAGAUCUUCACCGUUUAAGUUCAUCUCUGUGAUCGGAGGUUCUGUUUUCUCCUCUAUGAAAUAUGUUAUAUGUGUAACUGGAGGAGUUUGUUUCUCGUUACACAACACAUAAUGGUUUCACUAGAUCUGCCUACACACAAGUAGACAUUUUUGCCGUUAGUUCUAUCAUUCCACGUUUAUUAUCCCGAAUAAGAUACAUCAGAUCAAAUGAUGUUUUCAAAAUGUUACGUUGCUCCCUAUUAUGCUA
Long non-coding RNA from Ipomoea triloba (trilobed morning glory), 505 nucleotides. RefSeq lists it as uncharacterized. The transcript has 2 exons. The record is from RefSeq and is a predicted model, not a curated record. NCBI's taxonomy places the organism in Eukaryota, Viridiplantae, Streptophyta, Magnoliopsida, Solanales, Convolvulaceae.